UUAGAUAUGAUCCAGAGUACCACGGGACACGUGAAACCCUGUGGGAAGCAGGAGGACCACCCUCCAAGGCUAAAUACUACCUAGUGACCGAUAGCGUAUAGUACCGUGAGGGAAAGGUGAAAAGAACCCCGGGAGGGGAGUGAAAUAGAACCUGAAACCCUGCACUUACAAGCUGUGGAAGCACAUUUCUUGUGUGACCGCGUACUUUUUGUAGAACGGGCCAACGAGUUACGUUAAGUAGCAAGGUUAAGCACUUAAGGUGUGGAGCCGUAGCGAAAGCGAGUUUUAACUGAGCGUUCAGUUACUUGACGUAGACCCGAAACCGGGCGACCUACCCAUGAGCAGGAUGAAGCGAAAGUAAAAUUUCGUGGAGGUCCGAACCCACGAGCGUUGAAAAGCUCGGGGAUGACUUGUGGGUAGCGGUGAAAUUCCAAUCGAGCCCGGAGAUAGCUGGUUCUCCCCGAAAUAGCUUUAGGGCUAGCCUCAAGGUGAGAGAUACGGAGGUAGAGCACUGAAUGUCCUAGGGGGUAUUGCACCUACCGAAGACUAUCAAACUCCGAAUGCCGUCAUCUUAUACUUGGGAGUCAGACUGUGGGUGAUAAGAUUCAUAGUCGAAAGGGCAACAGCCCAGAUCGUCAGCUAAGGUCCCUAAAUGUAAGUUAAGUGGUAAAGGAUGUGGGAUUGCACAGACAACCAGGAUGUUGGCUUAGAAGCAGCCACUCAUUCAAAGAGUGCGUAAUAGCUCACUGGUCGAGUGAUCCUGCGCCGAAGAUUUCCGGGGCUAAAACUUACUACCGAAGCUACGGCAUCAGUAAUGAUGGGUAGGGGAGCUUCCCAUACGGGUUGAAGCAUGACCGUAAGGACAUGUGGACAGUAUGGGAGUGAGAAUGUUGGCAUGAGUAGCGAGAUGUGGGUGAGAAUCCCACAGGCCGUAAACCCAAGGUUUCCAGGGGAAGGUUCGUCCGCCCUGGGUUAGUCGGGACCUAAGCUGAGGCCGAAAGGCGUAGGUGAUGGACAACAGGUUGAUAUUCCUGUACUACCGAUAACCGUUUGAGAGAAGGGAUGACACAGUAGGAUAAGCUAAGCACACUGUUGGUUAUGUGUGCCCAAGCAUUGAGGCAGUCAAAGUAGGCAAAUCCGCUUUGAUAAUGCUGGGAUGUGAUGGGGAGCGAAAUUUAGUAGCGAAGUAGCUGAUUUCACACUGUCAAGAAAAGUCUCUAUCGAGGUUAAAGGUACCCGUACCGCAAACCGACACAGGUGGGUGAGGAGAGUAUCCUAAGGCCAGCGAGAGAACUGUUGUUAAGGAACUCGGCAAAAUGACCCCGUAACUUAGGGAUAAGGGGUGCCACCAUCAGGUGGCCGCAGAGAAUAGGCCCAAGCGACUGUUUACCAAAAACAUAGGUUUCUGCUAAGUCGCAAGACGAUGUAUAGGAGCUGACGCCUGCCCGGUGCUGGAAGGUUAAGGGGAUCUGUUAGAGCAAUCGAAGCAGUGAACUUAAGCCCCAGUAAACGGCGGCCGUAACUAUAACGGUCCUAAGGUAGCGAAAUUCCUUGUCGGGUAAGUUCCGACCCGCACGAAAGGCGUAACGAUUUGGGCACUGUCUCAACAACAGACUCGGUGAAAUUGUAAUUCCGGUGAAGAUGCCGGAUACCUGCGACAGGACGGAAAGACCCCAUGGAGCUUUACUGUAGCUUGACAUUGGGUCUUGGUACUACAUGUACAGGAUAGGUGGGAGGCUUUGAAACCAGGACGCCAGUUUUGGCGGAGCCAUCCUUGGGAUACCACCCUUGUAGUACUGGGACUCUAACCAUAGGCCAUGAAUCUGGUCUUGGGACACUGUCAGGUGGGCAGUUUGACUGGGGCGGUCGCCUCCCAAAAGGUAACGGAGGCGCUCAAAGGUUCUCUCAGUACGGUCGGAAAUCGUACGUAGAGUGUAAAGGCAAAAGAGAGCUUGAUUGCAAGACAUACAGGUCGAGCAAGGAUGAAAAUCGGACUUAGUGAUCCGGUGGUUCUGCGUGGAAGGGCCAUCGCUCAACGGAUAAAAGCUACCCUGGGGAUAACAGGCUUAUCUCCCCCAAGAGUCCACAUCGACGGGGAGGUUUGGCACCUCGAUGUCGGCUCAUCACAUCCUGGGGCUGUAGUAGGUCCCAAGGGUUGGGCUGUUCGCCCAUUAAAGUGGUACGCGAGCUGGGUUCAGAACGUCGUGAGACAGUUCGGUCCCUAUCCGUCGCAGGCGUAGGAAAUUUGAGAAGACCUGUCCUUAGUACGAGAGGACCGGGAUGGACGUACCUCUGGUGUACCAGUUGUCCUGCCAAGGGCAUGGCUGGGUAGCUAUGUACGGAAUGGAUAAGCGCUGAAAGCAUCUAAGCGCGAAGCCAACUUCAAGAUAAGAUUUCCCACCGCAAGGGUAAGACCCCAGAAAGACUAUCUGGUUGAUAGGUCGAAGGUGUAAGUGCAGCAAUGUAUUUAGCUUAUCGAUACUAAUAGGUCGAGGACUUGACCAA
RNAcentral lists this ribosomal RNA (2505 nucleotides) under Clostridioides difficile. RNAcentral describes it as "bacterial LSU rRNA". It matches the Rfam family "Bacterial large subunit ribosomal RNA", at positions 396 to 2925 of the family's 2925-position model. The record is from RNAcentral. Lineage: Bacteria; Bacillati; Bacillota; Clostridia; Peptostreptococcales; Peptostreptococcaceae.